This 253-nucleotide ribosomal RNA is filed under the name uncultured bacterium. RNAcentral's name for it is "partial 16S ribosomal RNA". It matches the Rfam family "Bacterial small subunit ribosomal RNA", at positions 524 to 776 of the family's 1533-position model. The record is from RNAcentral.
UACGAAGGGGGCUAGCGUUGUUCGGAAUGACUGGGCGUAAAGGGCGCGUAGGCGGCGAUUUUAGUCAGGCGUGAAAGCCCUGGGCUUAACCUAGGAACUGCGUUUGAUACUGGAUCGCUUGAGUGUGGGAGAGGAUGGUGGAAUUGACGGUGUAGCGGUGAAAUGCUUAGAUAUCGUCAAGAACACCGAUAGUGAAGACAGCUAACUAAGCUCAAACUGACGCUGAGGCACGAAAGUGUGGGGAUCAAACAGG